UACGGAGGAUGCAAGCGUUAUCCGGAUUUAUUGGGUUUAAAGGGUGCGCAGGUUGUUUGAUAAGUCAGUGGUGAAAGUCUGUCGCUUAACGGUAGGAUUGCCAUUGAUACUGUUGGACUUGAAUAUGGAUGAGGUAGGCGGAAUGUGUUGUGUAGCGGUGAAAUGCAUAGAUAUUACACAGAACACCGAUUGCGAAGGCAGCUUACUAAUCCAUCAUUGACGCUGAGGCACGAAAGCGUGGGGAGUCAAACA
This 252-nucleotide ribosomal RNA is filed under the name uncultured prokaryote. Its description in RNAcentral is "partial 16S ribosomal RNA". It matches the Rfam family "Bacterial small subunit ribosomal RNA", at positions 524 to 775 of the family's 1533-position model. The record is from RNAcentral.